CCUACGGGUGGCUGCAGUGAGGAAUAUUGGUCAAUGGGCUUACGCCUGAACCAGCCAAGUCGCGCGAGGGAAGACUGCCCUAUGGGUUGUAAACCUCUUUUGUCAGGGAGCAACGCCGGCUACGUGUAGCCGGACUGAGAGUACCUGAAGAAAAAGCAUCGGCUAACUCCGUGCCAGCAGCCGCGGUAAUACGGAGGAUGCGAGCGUUAUCCGGAUUUAUUGGGUUUAAAGGGUGCGUAGGCGGAAUGCCAAGUCAGCGGUAAAAUCGCGGGACUGCAUUGGGAACUGGCGCGCUGGAGUGCCGGAGGGGUAGGCGGAAUUCCUAGUGUAGCGGUGAAAUGCGUAGAUAUUAGGAGGAACACCAGUGGCGAAGGCGGCCUACUGGACGGUGACUGACGCUGAGGCUCGAAAGCGUGGGGAGCAAACAGGAUUAGAUACCCUUGUAGUC
Molecule: ribosomal RNA, 448 nt
Filed under: uncultured bacterium
Lineage: Bacteria
Description: partial 16S ribosomal RNA
Rfam family: Bacterial small subunit ribosomal RNA
Source: RNAcentral